This 502-nucleotide ribosomal RNA is filed under the name uncultured bacterium. Its description in RNAcentral is "bacterial SSU rRNA". It matches the Rfam family "Bacterial small subunit ribosomal RNA", at positions 9 to 518 of the family's 1533-position model. The record is from RNAcentral.
GAGUUUGAUUAUGGCUCAGAGUUAACGCUGGCAUCGUGCAUAACACAUGCAAGUCGAACGGGACUUGAUUGUAGCUUGCUAUAGAUUAAGUUAGUGGCAGACGGGUGAGUAAUGUAUAAGGAAUCUACCUCCGAGUGGGGAAUAACAGUCCGAAAGGAUUGCUAAUACCCCAUAACAUAAUCAGAUGGCAUCAUUUGAUUAUCAAAGAUUUAUCGCUUGGAGAUGAUCUUAUAUUCUAUCAGCUAGUUGGCAGUGUAACGGACUACCAAGGCUACGACGGAUAGCCGGCCUGAAAGGGCGACCGGCCACAAGGGCACUGAGACACGGGCCCUACUCCUACGGGAGGCAGCAGUGGGGAAUUUUGGACAAUGGGCGCAAGCCUGAAUCCAGCAACGAUGCGUGGAGGAUGAAGGUUUUCGGAUUGUAAACUCCUUUUGUGAGGGAAGAAACAAAUGACGGUACCUCACGAAUAAGCCACGGCUAACUACGUGCCAGCCGCCGC